Molecule: long non-coding RNA, 715 nt
Organism: Prosopis cineraria
Lineage: Eukaryota; Viridiplantae; Streptophyta; Magnoliopsida; Fabales; Fabaceae
Exons: 4
Source: RefSeq, a predicted model, not a curated record
UCUCUUUCGCAUGGAAUCUCAAUCAUUUUUCCUUCUGCUUCUUCUUCAUUUUCUCUCUCCUCCCUGUAAAACCACCUCUCUAUCUUCUGCGUCUUCUCUGGUUCGUGCCACAGAUAUACCCUUCCGCUCUGAACGCUCGCAUUGGACACUGCAGAAUCGUCGCUCCAGCUUAUGGAUAGCUCCCUUGCAGACAGAAUGUCAGAUUUCUUACCAGACGACCUGUCCAGCCUUAUGGAUAAGCUCAUAGGCAUUGGAAUUAGAAUUAGUAUUAGCUCUGGACCAGAUUUCCUUCUUUAUGUGGCUUCGCAGCUUUGAUUUCCAUGGGAUGUUGGAUCACUCUGUUUCAGUCAUGUUUCAUGUUAUGCAAAGAGGUUAAUGAUAUUGUUGGGACAUUAGCUCUUGGACAUUAUCAUGGUGUAGAUACUGUUGCUGCAAUUAUAAUUUUGGCACUGGUAACUUUCCUUCUUUUCUUGGGCUUUAAGAAAAUGAUGUCAGGAUUGCUGGAGUCAAAUGGAUUCGGAUCAUGUACGAUAUAUCGCUAAAGUAGAUAAUCAUCACCAUUUGUUUUAUCUAAUGAUUAAAAAAAAGAAGGAUGUAUAAAAAGACUUUUCAUUCACAAAACAUAUAAUCAUAUUUUAUAUUUUUAAUAAAAUUAUUUUUAUCACUAAUAUGAAUAAUUUAUAUUUAAUUUAUAUCAUCCAAAUUUAAUUUUAAA